This 337-nucleotide unclassified non-coding RNA is filed under the name soil metagenome. RNAcentral describes it as "partial contains 5.8S ribosomal RNA, internal transcribed spacer 2, and large subunit ribosomal RNA". The stretch from base 1 to 120 matches the Rfam family "5.8S ribosomal RNA", at positions 35 to 154 of the family's 154-position model. The record is from RNAcentral.
GAUGAAGAACGUAGCGAAAUGCGAUAAGUAGUGUGAAUUGCAGAAUUCAGUGAAUCAUCGAAUCUUUGAACGCACAUUGCGCCCCAUGGUAUUCCGUGGGGCAUGCCUGUUCGAGCGUCAUUUACCCCCUCAAGCUCCGCUUGGUGUUGGGCGUCUGUCCCGCUUCGCGCGCGGACUCGCCCCAAAGGUAUUGGCAGCGGUCGUGCCAGCUUCUCGCGCAGCACAUUGCGCUUCUCGAGGCACCGGUGGGCCCGCGUCCAUCAAGCCCACCCCCCCAGUGUGACCGCGGAUCAGGUAGGGAUACCCGCUGAACUUAAGCAUAUCAAUAAGCGGAGGA